Molecule: ribosomal RNA, 781 nt
Filed under: Streptomyces malachitospinus
Lineage: Bacteria; Bacillati; Actinomycetota; Actinomycetes; Kitasatosporales; Streptomycetaceae
Description: bacterial SSU rRNA
Rfam family: Bacterial small subunit ribosomal RNA
Source: RNAcentral
AGUCGAACGAUGAACCACUUCGGUGGGGAUUAGUGGCGAACGGGUGAGUAACACGUGGGCAAUCUGCCCUGCACUCUGGGACAAGCCCUGGAAACGGGGUCUAAUACCGGAUACUGAACCUUGCAGGCAUCUGUGAGGGUCGAAAGCUCCGGCGGUGCAGGAUGAGCCCGCGGCCUAUCAGCUAGUUGGUGAGGUAAUGGCUCACCAAGGCGACGACGGGUAGCCGGCCUGAGAGGGCGACCGGCCACACUGGGACUGAGACACGGCCCAGACUCCUACGGGAGGCAGCAGUGGGGAAUAUUGCACAAUGGGCGAAAGCCUGAUGCAGCGACGCCGCGUGAGGGAUGACGGCCUUCGGGUUGUAAACCUCUUUCAGCAGGGAAGAAGCGAAAGUGACGGUACCUGCAGAAGAAGCGCCGGCUAACUACGUGCCAGCAGCCGCGGUAAUACGUAGGGCGCAAGCGUUGUCCGGAAUUAUUGGGCGUAAAGAGCUCGUAGGCGGCUUGUCGCGUCGGUUGUGAAAGCCCGGGGCUUAACCCCGGGUCUGCAGUCGAUACGGGCAGGCUAGAGUUCGGUAGGGGAGAUCGGAAUUCCUGGUGUAGCGGUGAAAUGCGCAGAUAUCAGGAGGAACACCGGUGGCGAAGGCGGAUCUCUGGGCCGAUACUGACGCUGAGGAGCGAAAGCGUGGGGAGCGAACAGGAUUAGAUACCCUGGUAGUCCACGCCGUAAACGGUGGGCACUAGGUGUGGGCAACAUUCCACGUUGUCCGUGCCGCAGCUAA